AUUGAACGCUGGCGGCAGGCCUAACACAUGCAAGUCGAGCGGAUGAAGGGAGCUUGCUCCUGGAUUCAGCGGCGGACGGGUGAGUAAUGCCUAGGAAUCUGCCUGGUAGUGGGGGAUAACGUCCGGAAACGGGCGCUAAUACCGCAUACGUCCUGAGGGAGAAAGUGGGGGAUCUUCGGACCUCACGCUAUCAGAUGAGCCUAGGUCGGAUUAGCUAGUUGGUGGGGUAAAGGCCUACCAAGGCGACGAUCCGUAACUGGUCUGAGAGGAUGAUCAGUCACACUAGAACUGAGACACGGUCCAGGCUCCUACGGGAGGCAGCAGUGGGGAAUAUUGGACAAUGGGCGAAAGCCUGAUCCAGCCAUGCCGCGUGUGUGAAGAAGGUCUUCGGAUUGUGAAGCACUUUAAGUUGGGAGGAAGGGCAGUAAGUUAAUACCUUGCUGUUUUGACGUUACCAACAGAAUAAGCACCGGCUAACUUCGUG
Molecule: ribosomal RNA, 484 nt
Filed under: uncultured bacterium
Lineage: Bacteria
Description: partial 16S ribosomal RNA
Rfam family: Bacterial small subunit ribosomal RNA
Source: RNAcentral